GUGGCUUCGCGACUGCGGAAGGUUGCCCGGGCUGGCGCCGCUGGGCAGAGCCGGUGCGACGUUUCCCUUUCCAGCUUUGUUCUUCCGGCCCUGCUGUCUGCCUCCCCGGCUGAUUGGAUUCGUUACUGCUUUGCAACGCGCACCUAACUCCAGACGGGGUCUCACUCUGUCGCCCAGGCUGGAGUGCAGUGGCACAAUCUCAGCUUGCUGUGACCUCAGCUCUCUGCGACCUCUGCUUGCUGGACUCAAGCGAUCCUCCCACCACCUCAGCCUCCUGAGUAGCUGGAACCAUCAUAUGCACCAGCACGCCUGGCUAAGCUGGAAUGCAAUAGCGUGGUCUUGGCUCACUGCAACCUCCGCCUCCCGGGUUCAAGCAAUUCUCCUGCCUCAGCCUCCUAAGUAGCUGGGACUACAGGGGCCCUCCUGCUGCUCCCUCCAUGAGGCUGGUCCUGAAGGAAUAGGCCUGUGGCUCGUCCCUCCUCCCCAUCUCGGCCCUGAGGCAAACAUACCUUCCACAGCUCUGGGAGCACCGCCUCCACCCAGGUCUCACAGGAUGGGACACAAGGAUAGGCAUUAAGCAGGACUUCCAGGGCCCGAGGGAAGUUGGCGCAGUGUUUCAGCAUCUAGGGGUCAAAAGAGGGUCUUGGGCACAUGCCUCCCCCACCCGAGGGCAGACCCAAGUCUUGCCUCACCCACAUGGCCAAUCCUAGCCUAAUCUGGGGGGCUAAGGUCUGAGUCUCUCUUCCCUUUUUUGUGCCUCUGUCUACCCCACCCUCAAGUAUGCUCCAACCUUUUGGCCCCAGUUUUCCUCUGGGGCUCUUCCCUCCCUUGGACUCUCUCUCCCAGAAUCCUCUCUCCCCCUCCCAAGCUGGGGACAGCCCCCUGGCCACUGAGGGCAGGCUUUCAGUCUCUUGGACCCUCUGUCUUCCCCAGAAGCGGAGCAGUUCCAGCCGCGGGCUCCCCCACACAGGAGCCUCCUAUGUCAGGGCCUCCCAGCGCACCUCAGGGCGCACUGGCUGCGCCCCGUAGUCCAGCAGUGCGGCGAAAAGGACUUCAGGCUCCCAGUUGGGGGAGUCCUGGACGGCCUGCAGCGCACAGUCCAUGGGCGUGUGGCCCGCCCCAUUGGGGACCUCAGCGCGGGCCCCGUAACGCAGCAGCAGCUCGGCCAGGCCCCCGCAGCCGUUGGCACAAGCGUUGUGCAGCGGCGUGUGGCGCUUGCGCCCGGCCGCCCGGGCAUCAGCUCCAGCCUCCAGGAGCCGGCGCGCCGCAGCCUGGUGUCGCCUGCAGCUACCUGGGCCCUCGGCCCCAGCGCACGCCGUGUUCAGCGCAGUCUCGCCCUGGCUGGUGCGCAGGCCCACGUCGGCGCCAUGCUCCAGGUACAGAGCCACAUGUUGCUCCAGGCCGCGCGCCGCCGCCACGUGCAGGGGCGUCUCCUGGCUCUCGCCUGCUGCCAGGUUCACCGUCGCUCCUGCUUCCAGCAGCAACUUGGCGCACCUGGGGACAAGAGAGCAAGGUCCUGAGGAAAAUCCUGAAGGCUUGGGACCCCUUCAGCUUGCUGUGACACUCCCUUGCCUUUCCACCCCUCUCAGCUUGAGGUCCUACCUGGUGUCCUCCAUGAGAAUCAUACAAGCCCCGCUACAGACAACAGAAUUGGAAGGUCCUGAGAGCUACCAGAAGCAUCUUCAGUUUUCAUAUGAAAAACUUAAGCCCAGGAGUGAUUUGUGCAGCCAAGGACACACAGCAAGUUAGUGGCUGCACCAGAAAUAGUACUCACUGCCUCAGACAGUCCCUCCCACAGUCUACUCUGUCUCCACCCCAAGGUCUGGUUCUGAAUCAUUCAGUUGUCAGUUGUCUCCUUUUUUUUUUUUUUUUUUGGAGACAGGGUCUCUCUCUGUGGCCCAGGCUGAAGUGCAGUGGUGUGAUUACAGCUCAUGUAGCCUGGACCUCCCAAGCUCAAGCAAUCCUCCUGCCUCUGCCUCCCAAGUAGCUGGGACCACAGGUGGGCAGCACCACACCUGGCUAAUUUUUUAAAUUUUUUUUUAUAGAGACAGGGUCUUACCAUUUGCCCCAGCUGGUCUCAAACCCCUGGGCUCAAGCAAGCCUCCUGCCUUGGCCUCCCAAAGUGCUGGGAUUACAGGUGUGAGCCACCACACCCGGCCUUAUCUCCUAACAUUUUGAUAGCACAAAAUUUUGAAAACCCACUUCUGUGUACGUUAUGAAGCAUAGAAAAUUAAACAGUAUGCACCAAAAAAAAAUAA
This 2258-nucleotide long non-coding RNA is filed under the name Homo sapiens (human). Its description in RNAcentral is "non-protein coding ASB16-AS1:1". The record is from RNAcentral. Lineage: Eukaryota; Metazoa; Chordata; Mammalia; Primates; Hominidae.